UUUCCCUCAGGAUAGCUGGCAUUCUGGGACAUAAACACUUUUAUCCGGUAAAGCGAAUAAUUAGAGGCAUCGGGGAGAAAACAUCCUCAACCUAUUCUCAAACUUUAAAUGGGUGAGAAGCUUAACUCGCUUAAAUGGAGUUUUGUAUUGAAUGUGAGUGCCA
RNAcentral lists this non-coding RNA (163 nucleotides) under Trichobilharzia regenti. Its description in RNAcentral is "Eukaryotic large subunit ribosomal RNA". It matches the Rfam family "Eukaryotic large subunit ribosomal RNA", at positions 967 to 1124 of the family's 3401-position model. Lineage: Eukaryota; Metazoa; Platyhelminthes; Trematoda; Strigeidida; Schistosomatidae. The record is from Rfam by way of RNAcentral.